GUCCACGCCGUAAACGAUGGGUGCUAGGUGUGGGCGGUGUCGACUCCGUCCGUGCCGAAGCUAACGCAUUAAGCACCCCGCCUGGGGAGUACGGCCGCAAGGCUAAAACUCAAAGGAAUUGACGGGGGCCCGCACAAGCAGCGGAGCAUGUGGUUUAAUUCGACGCGACGCGAAGAACCUUACCAAGGCUUGACAUGUGCCUGAAUGUCGUAGAAAUACGGCAGCCCUUCGGGGCAGGUUCACAGGUGGUGCAUGGCUGUCGU
This 263-nucleotide ribosomal RNA is filed under the name uncultured bacterium. RNAcentral describes it as "partial 16S ribosomal RNA". It matches the Rfam family "Bacterial small subunit ribosomal RNA", at positions 793 to 1055 of the family's 1533-position model. The record is from RNAcentral.